Molecule: long non-coding RNA, 1300 nt
Organism: Drosophila santomea
Lineage: Eukaryota; Metazoa; Arthropoda; Insecta; Diptera; Drosophilidae
Exons: 4
Source: RefSeq, a predicted model, not a curated record
ACCCUCACUUCUAUUUCCACCCAAGCACGAUACACAACACCGAAAAUACAUGAACAUAUAUCAAUAUUCAAUAUUAUUGAAUAAUAGUUCCCUUUAGAAAAAAUUUCAAACAGAAGUCAAUUGUAAAAAUUGUAUUGUAACAACUGGAACUCUAGUAACUUCACACAGUAAACGCAAUACCCAAAUCAAAAGAAACUAAAAUACAAAUGGAAAACGAAGAACGCGAAGUUUACAAAGUCCUGCGAAGCCGCACAGUUUACUAUACUGAGCCGAAGAGAAGGAGGCGAAACCGCAGACCAGUUGAAGUCCAUGAAGAUCCCCAAAGCGAUGAAGAUCCCCAAAGCGAUGAAGAUGCCUCAAGAUCCCUCCAAGUCUGCGAUAAUAGUCCCAAAACUGAAGUGACAAAUCAAGGACGCUCGAGAGCUAGAUUUAGAUUCGGUUCCUGCGUAAUAUGCUAGAGGCCCAUCUCUCUAAAUCGGGGGAAAUCAUUGUGGAAAAUAGUGUAGAUAGUGAGACAGAGGAAUCCGAACCCAAGUCAGUGGAGAUAUAGUAGUCGAAAAUAGUGCGAUGCCAAGGUGAUGUACAUAUUGAAGUAGUUCCAUUUAUGAUGCAAUUGAAACAAACGCACAACCCCAAAAACAAGUUAAUAUUUCUCAUUCCAAAGCAGAAGUUCAUACGAUGAUUUCUAUAUAUUUUAUAUAAUGUUCAUUUUGUUUACACGGGCACAGGUCGAAAGUGCCUUUGAACCUGUGUGUGCCACCGACUGAAACAAAAAGCCACGAUGUCGGCACAAAGGAGCUGCGGCAGGUUCUAAGGACUCAAAGGAACAGCGAACUCUCAAUUUGGAAUCGAACCAAUUAGUUGUCCUUUGUGCGCUGGCACCUUUGUCGCCUGGAUUUCGCAAACAGCAACGUUUAUGAUUUCCAUUUUCCCAUGGCCCAGUGACCCAUUUGCCAUGGCUUUUCCCCAGAUUGCCACUGUUUUACGGUGGCCAAGGCGGCGAGUCCUGUUACGGAGUCGAGGAUCCUUUUUUCUUUUUGCAGUUGUGAGCCGUGGAAGGAGCGCAGCGGGGCGUGCGGUGCAAAGAUCAGAGGAGCGGCCCGCCGCGGGGCGCCCUCAACUGAUGAUCGUUUCGACACCCCAUUUAUGCGGCGUUCUCUUUUCUUGUUUUGCUCCUCUGCUUCCCUUUGGCCCGCUCCUGUUCGCCAUGCACUGGGAGAAAAGCAAUGGAUAUGCGCCAUGUCUUAUUUGUGUAUUUCGUCGUUCUUAUGUGAUUAAAAUUGUUAAUUGUCACGCACAA